Molecule: small nuclear RNA, 107 nt
Filed under: Notamacropus eugenii (tammar wallaby)
Lineage: Eukaryota; Metazoa; Chordata; Mammalia; Diprotodontia; Macropodidae
Source: RNAcentral
UGCUUCGGCAACACAUGCAAUAAAAAACAAUGGGAAUGAUACAGAGAAGAUUAGCGUGGUCCCUGCUCAAGGAUGACAUGCAAAUUUGUGAAGCAUUUCACAUUUUU